GAGAGGAAGACCACAGGUACACCUGGCUAGACCUCCAGGCUGCGUGAUGAAGAGGUUUUACUCCACCUGUCACAGGUGUUAGAGAGGAAGACCACGGGUGUUAGAGAAGAAGACCACAGGUGUUAGAGAGGAAGACAACAGGUGUUAGAGAGGAAGACCACAGGUGUUAGAGAGGAAGACCACAGGUGUUAGAGAGGAAGACCACAGGUGUUAGAGAGGAAGACCACGGGUGUUAGAGAGGAAGACCACGGGUGUUAGAGAGGAAGACCACAGGUGUUAGAGAGGAAGACCACAGGUGUUAGAGAGGAAGACCACAGGUGUUAGAGAGGAAGACCACGGGUACACCUGUUAUUUUGAUAAACGUUUUGUUCCCUAAACUUGACCAUAUAUUCUCCUCCUUUCCGUGUGUCCGUGUGUCCGUGUGUCCGUGUGUGUGUGUGUGUGUGUGUGUGUGUGUGUGUGUGUGUAGAGUAUCAGCAGGGUGUGUGUGGGUCUCAGCUGUCAGUGAUAACAGGAAGAGGGAACCACAGUCAGGGAGGAGUGGCUCGUAUCCGCCCUGCCGUCACAGACUACCUCCACACACAGGGCUACAGGUUUACUGAGCCUAAGCCAGGUCUGAUGUUGGUGUGUCUGAACUGAGAUGAAGCUGGUCAUGUGACUGACUGUCCUUAUCAAGACACUAAUCUCUCCUCCCCUGGAAUCUACCUCUACCACUUCCUCUCUCACAUACACAAGAAACACACUCCUCUCUCUCUCUCUCUCUCUCUCUCUCUCUCUCUCUCUCUCUCUGUCUCUGUCUCUCUCUCUGUCUCUCUCUCUGUCUCUCUCUCUCUCUCUCUGUCUCUGUCUCUGUCUCUGUCUCUAUCUGUCUCUCUCUCUCUCUCUCUGUCUCUGUGUCUCUCUGUCUCUGUCUCUCUCUCUCUGUCUCUCUCUCUGUCUCUCUCUCUCUCUCUCUCUCUCUCUCUCUCUCUCUCUCUCUCUCUCUCUCUCAUAUUUUAAUUAUUUUAAUAGCUGCCAAAGAAAACGUCUUAACCUCCUUUUUAUGUCUUCACUGUUGCCAGUUUUGUACAAUAUUUGUGUUUUUGAAUGAAACUUUAUCAGGAUUUUACAAACGAUGACAGGAGCAAGAGUUCAUUUAAAUUAGAUUAAAUGUAGAUAUUAAAUGUUGACUUUUAAAAUACAUUAACACAGUUCUACAUUUUAUAAAACCAUAAUCAAACUAAGUGUAUAUAAUAUAAUCUUAACGUGAUGUUUCUGUAAUGGUGAAUGUGUGGGGUUAUGUACAUUUUAAUAUAGACCAGUUAAUCGGAACAGUAUUGACCUUGAUAUCAGGGUUUGAUUUCUGGCCCGUUUAUACAUUGGAACAGAAGGGAUUUCUGGGCCGUUUAUACAUUAGAUCAGAAGUGAUAUCUGGCCCGUUUAUACAUUACAUCAGAUGUGAUAUCUGGGCCGUUUAUACAUUAGAUCAGAAAGAGUAUUGACCUGGAUAUUGGGGUUUGAUAUCUGGGCAGUUUAUACAUUGGAUCAGAAGUGAUAUCUGGGCCGUUUAUACAUUAGAUCAGAAAGAGUAUUGAACUGAAUAUUGGGGUUUAAUAUCUGGGCCGUUUAUACAUUGGAACAGAAGUGAUAUCUGGGCCGUUUAUACAUUAGAUCAGAAGGGAUAUCUGGGCCGUUUAUACAUUAGAUCAGAUGUGAUAUCUGGGCCGUUUAUACAUUAGAUCAGAAAGAGUAUUGACCUGGAUAUUGGGGUUUGAUAUCUGGGCCGUUUAUACAUUAGAUCAGAAGGGAAUAUCUGGCCCGUUUAUACAUUAGAUCAGAUGUGAUAUCUGGGCCGUUUAUACAUUAGAUCAGAAGUGAUAUCUGAGCCGUUUAUACAUUAGAUCAGAAGUGAUAUCUGGCCCGUUUACACAUUAGAUCAGAUGUGAUAUCUGGCAAUUUUAUACAUUAGAUCAGAAGGGAUAUCUGGCCCGUUUAUACAUUAGAUCAGAUGUGAUAUCUGGGCCGUUUAUACAUUAGAUCAGAAAGAGUAUUGACCUGGAUAUUGGGGUUUGAUAUCUGGGCCGUUUAUACAUUAGGUCAGAAAGGAUAUCUGGGCCGUUUAUACAUUAGAUCAGAAAGAGUAUUGACCUGGAUAUUGGGGUUUGAUAUCUGGGCCGUUUAUACAUUAGGUCAGACGGGAUAUCUGGCCCGUUUAUACAUUAGAUCAGAAGUGAUAUCUGGCCCGUUUAUACAUUAGAUCAGAAGUGAUAUCUGGCCCGUUUAUACAUUAGAUCAGAUGUGAUAUCUGGCCCGUUUAUACAUUAGAUCAGAAAGUGUAUCGACCUGGAUAUUGGGGUUUGAUAUCUGGGCCGUUUAUACAUUAGAUCAGAUGUGAUAUCUGGGCCGUUUAUACAUUAGAUCAGAAGUGAUAUCUGUCCGUUUAUAAAUGAGAUGAAAAGUGAUCUAAUUUGGAACGUAAUCUGAAGAAUGGGUGAUGCUCCGAUUUUAAAAAGUGAUUGUGUGAAGCCCAAAUUAUAUCCUAAUCCCUAUGUAGUGCACUAUCUCAUCUCAAUUAUUAAAUGACCCAGAAACACUGGCCCACUAUUCUCUCUAUAUAGGGAAUCCAAAUGGCCCACUAUUCUCUAUAUAGGGAAUCCAAAUGGCCCACUAUUCUCUAUAUAGGGAAUCCAAAUGGCCCACUAUUCUCUAUAUAGGGAAUCCAAAUGGCCCACUAUUCUCUAUAGGGAAUCCAAAUGGCCCACUAUUCUCUAUAUAGGGAAUCCAAAUGGCCCUCUAUUCUCUCUAUAGGGAAUCCAAAUGGCCCUCUAUUCUCUAUAUAGGGAAUCCAAAUGGCCCUCUAUUCUCUAUAUAGGGAAUCCAAAUGGCCCUCUAUUCUCUAUAUAGGGAAUCCAAAUGGCCCACUAUUCUCUAUAGGGAAUCCAAAUGGCCCACUAUUCUCUAUAUAGGGAAUCCAAAUGGCCCUCUAUUCUCUAUAUAGGGAAUCCAAAUGGCCCUCUAUUCUCUAUAUAGGGAAUCCAAAUGGCCCACUAUUCUCUAUAUAGGGAAUCCAAAUGGCCCUCUAUAUAGGGAAUCCAAAUGGCCCACUAUUCUCUAUAUAGGGAAUCCAAAUGGCCCUCUAUUCUCUAUAUAGGGAAUCCAAAUGGCCCUCUAUUCUCUAUAUAGGGAAUCCAAAUGGCCCUCUAUUCUCUAUAUAGGGAAUCCAAAUGGCCCACUAUUCUCUAUAGGGAAUCCAAAUGGCCCACUAUUCUCUAUAUAGGGAAUCCAAAUGGCCCUCUAUUCUCUAUAUAGGGAAUCCAAAUGGCCCACUAUUCUCUAUAGGGAAUCCAAAUGGCCCUCUAUUCUCUAUAUAGGGAAUCCAAAUGGCCCACUAUUCUCUAUAUAGGGAAUCCAAAUGGCCCACUAUUCUCUAUAUAGGGAAUCCAAAUGGCCCACUAUUCUCUAUAGGGAAUCCAAAUGGCCCUCUAUUCUCUAUAUAGGGAAUCCAAAUGGCCCACUAUUCUCUAUAUAGGGAAUCCAAAUGGCCCACUAUUCUCUAUAUAGGGAAUCCAAAUGGCCCUCUAUUCUCUAUAUAGGGAAUCCAAAUGGCCCUCUAUUCUCUAUAUAGGGAAUCCAAAUGGCCCUCUAUUCUCUAUAUAGGGAAUCCAAAUGGCCCUCUAUUCUCUAUAUAGGGAAUCCAAAUGGCCCACUAUUUUCUAUAUAGGGAAUCCAAAUGGCCCACUAUUCUCUAUAUAGGGAAUCCAAAUGGCCCUCUAUUCUCUCUAUAGGGAAUCCAAAUGGCCCUCUAUUCUCUCUAUAGGGAAUCCAAAUGGCCCUCUAUUCUCUAUAUAGGGAAUCCAAAUGGCCCUCUAUUCUCUAUAUAGGGAAUCCAAAUGGCCCACUAUUCUCUCUAUAUAGGGAAUCCAAAUGGCCCUCUAUUCUCUAUAUAGGGAAUCCAAAUGGCCCACUAUUCUCUAUAUAGGGAAUCCAAAUGGCCCUCUAUUCUCUCUAUAGGGAAUCCAAAUGGCCCACUAUUCUCUCUAUAGGGAAUCCAAAUGGCCCACUAUUCUCUAUAUAGGGAAUCCAAAUGGCCCUCUAUUGUCUAUAUAGGGAAUCCAAAUGGCCCUCUAUUCUCUAUAUAGGGAAUCCAAAUGGCCCUCUAUUCUCUAUAUAGGGAAUCCAAAUGGCCCACUAUUCUCUAUAGGGAAUCCAAAUGGCCCACUAUUCUCUAUAUAGGGAAUCCAAAUGGCCCACUAUUCUCUAUAUAGGGAAUCCAAAUGGCCCACUAUUCUCUAUAUAGGGAAUCCAAAUGGCCCACUAUUCUCUAUAUAGGGAAUCCAAAUGGUUAGGAUGAGGGUUAAGGUUAGGAUGAGGGUUAAGGUUAGGAUGAGGGUUAAGGUUAGGAUGAGGGUUAAGGUUAGGAUGAGGGUUAAGGUUAGGAUGAGGGUUAAGGUUAGGAUGAGGGUUAAGGUUAGGAUGAGGGUUAAGGUUAGGAUGAGGGUUAAGGUUAGGAUGAGGGUUAAGGUUAGGAUGAGGGUUAAGGUUAGGGUUAGGAGAAGUGUUGAACCAACAUUAAGCCGUAGGAACUGCCUCCUAAAAGGGAAUUAUAGGCUACACAAGGAAAGGGUAUAUUUUUAUAUUCAGAAUUGUUG
Molecule: long non-coding RNA, 4628 nt
Filed under: Salmo salar (Atlantic salmon)
Lineage: Eukaryota; Metazoa; Chordata; Actinopteri; Salmoniformes; Salmonidae
Description: lncRNA (ENSSSAG00000114382.1)
Source: RNAcentral